Non-coding RNA from Heterocephalus glaber (naked mole-rat), 616 nucleotides. Lineage: Eukaryota; Metazoa; Chordata; Mammalia; Rodentia; Bathyergidae. The record is from RefSeq and is a predicted model, not a curated record.
UGUGGUGUUUGUUUAAUGAUACAAGUCCAUCCUGUUUUCCAGCUGCACCUUGGAUAGUAUUGAUCUGUUUGGGAAAAUGUCUGCUUCGAAUCUGCAUAGAUCAGUCCCCAGGACUCUCAUCAUCCCACGUUAUUUUCUGGACAAAUUGGUGGAAAUGAGACCCAGAGUUUAAUCAUCCGCCAUUUGUCCUGUGAGAUGCCAAGACACCUCCUCAGAUAUCAAUUGGAAGAUAAGCAACAACUCUUUUGGAGUAUGGAUCUAGGUGAUAGAGUGAGGCAUAAUUCAUUAGUGCUGUUGUUACUAUCAGAAGUCAGAUCCAACUCCAAACAUAUAAUGUGCUGGGAUUAAAAAGAAAGAGUGAAGACUAAUAUAUAUGUGACUUAUCUUUGUCAUGGAAUGGUUAACUACUGAGAGAAAUUCUGUAUGCCAAGGACCUUUCUAGCUGUCCCAGGUUGGAUUUCCUGGUUGCAGACCUCCAGACAAAAGCUUCCUAGGGCAGUGAUUUCAAAGGUAGUGUCACAAGGAAGAUGAGUGAAUGGAUAGAAAAGAAAGCAGCCAAAAAAGAGCUGGAGGUCAACAAAGAUCUUGCUAAGGUAAAGUCCUACAGCACAUCCAU